This 30-nucleotide non-coding RNA is filed under the name Mus musculus (house mouse). The record is from RNAcentral. Lineage: Eukaryota; Metazoa; Chordata; Mammalia; Rodentia; Muridae.
UGGCACAGAAUAUACAUUCCCAUUCCAAAA